Molecule: ribosomal RNA, 235 nt
Filed under: uncultured bacterium
Lineage: Bacteria
Description: partial 16S ribosomal RNA
Rfam family: Bacterial small subunit ribosomal RNA
Source: RNAcentral
GCAAGUCGAGCGAGAAGUUUUUUAGCUUGCUAGAAAAUGGAAAGCGGCGAACGGGUGAGUAACACGUUGAUAUCUGCCUUCAAACCAGGGAUAGCCAACUGAAAAGUGGAUUAAUACCGGAUAGUCGCUUAGGAGUAAAGAAUUUCGUUUGAAGAGGAGUCUGCGGUCUAGCAGCUAGUUGGUAAGGUAAUGGCUUACCAAGGCUAUGACGGAUAGUUGGUCUGAGAGGAUGAGC